RNAcentral lists this ribosomal RNA (433 nucleotides) under uncultured bacterium. RNAcentral's name for it is "partial 16S ribosomal RNA". It matches the Rfam family "Bacterial small subunit ribosomal RNA", at positions 29 to 507 of the family's 1533-position model. The record is from RNAcentral.
AACGAACGCUGGCGGCAUGCCUAACACAUGCAAGUCGAACGAGACCUUCGUGUGUAGUGGCGCACGGGUGCGUAACGCGUGGGAACCUUCCCUUAUGUUCCGAAUAACUCUCCGAAAGGGGUGCUAAUACCGGAUAAUGUCUUCGGAUCAAAGAUGUAUCGACUUUGGAUGGGCCCGCGUGGUAUUAGCUAGUUUGUAGGGUAACAGACUACGAAGGCGACGAUAAAGAGCUGGUCUGAGAGUAUGAGCAGCCACACUGCGACGUAUACACGGCCCAGCAUCCUAGUGACUGCACCCCUUCCUUCUCUUCCCAACUGCCGUCCGUCAUGAUCCCCAUAUGGCGUGUGAGUGAUGAAGGCCUUAGGGUUGUUACUCUCUUUUACCCGGGAUGAUCAUGACAGUACCGAGAGAAUAAGCUCCGGCUAACUUCCUG